This 23-nucleotide microRNA is filed under the name Petromyzon marinus (sea lamprey). RNAcentral's name for it is "pma-miR-155". Its record names the gene pma-miR-155. Lineage: Eukaryota; Metazoa; Chordata; Hyperoartia; Petromyzontiformes; Petromyzontidae. The record is from miRBase by way of RNAcentral.
UUAAUGCUAUCGUUGAUGGGGUU